CUGCAACAUAAAAAAUUUCGUUGACGAUACUGUUUCCAAAGCCCAAUUCCACCUCAGUGGAACCUCUAGCUUCAACAUUUAUGUCAGGGUGUGAAGCACGUAAGUUAUAUCUCCCUGGAAUAAUAUUUGAGAAAAGAUAAUUCCCUUCCUGCGAAGUUAAUGCCGAAGAUACAACAUCACCAUUGGGAGAGAGCUGUUCCAAUUUGAAUGGUGGUCCAGCAAAUGUAAA
Molecule: unclassified non-coding RNA, 229 nt
Filed under: Hevea brasiliensis (rubber tree)
Lineage: Eukaryota; Viridiplantae; Streptophyta; Magnoliopsida; Malpighiales; Euphorbiaceae
Source: RNAcentral